GAUGAACGCUGGCGGCGUGCCUAAUACAUGCAAGUCGAGCGAACAGACGAGGAGCUUGCUCCUCUGACGUUAGCGGCGGACGGGUGAGUAACACGUGGAUAACCUACCUAUAAGACUGGGAUAACUUCGGGAAACCGGAGCUAAUACCGGAUAAUAUAUUGAACCGCAUGGUUCAAUAGUGAAAGACGGUUUUGCUGUCACUUAUAGAUGGAUCCGCGCCGCAUUAGCUAGUUGGUAAGGUAACGGCUUACCAAGGCGACGAUGCGUAGCCGACCUGAGAGGGGGAUCGGCCAAAUGGAAAAGAGACAAGGGUCAAGACUACAAGGGGAGGCAGAAGAAGGGAAUCUUCCGCAAGGGGGGAAAGCCUGAAGGAGAAACGCCGGGUGGGUGAUGAAGUUUUUAGGAUGGUAAAACUCUGUUAUUAGGGAAAAACAAAUGGGAAAGAAAAUAUGCAGGUCUUGAAGGUACCUAAUCAAAAACCCACGGCUAACUACG
Molecule: ribosomal RNA, 495 nt
Filed under: uncultured bacterium
Lineage: Bacteria
Description: partial 16S ribosomal RNA
Rfam family: Bacterial small subunit ribosomal RNA
Source: RNAcentral